RNAcentral lists this long non-coding RNA (629 nucleotides) under Ricinus communis (castor bean). RNAcentral describes it as "long non-coding RNA (RCOM_LNC002595)". Lineage: Eukaryota; Viridiplantae; Streptophyta; Magnoliopsida; Malpighiales; Euphorbiaceae. The record is from RNAcentral.
UCCAUCAUCUCCAGGUUACAGCCCAUCAUCUCCUGGGUACAGUCCUACAUCGCCUGGGUAUAGUCCUACAUCCCCUGGGUACAGUCCUACUUCACCCGGUUACAGUCCUACUUCACCCACCUAUAGCCCAAGUUCUCCUGGCUAUAGCCCAACCAGCCCUGCUUAUUCUCCUACAAGUCCAUCUUAUUCCCCUACUUCCCCAAGUUAUAGUCCCACAUCUCCCAGUUACAGUCCCACAUCUCCUAGUUACAGCCCGACCUCUCCAAGUUAUAGCCCAACUUCCCCAAGUUAUAGCCCUACAUCACCCGUAUACAGUCCCACAUCACCUGCAUAUAGUCCCACAUCACCUGCAUAUAGUCCUACCUCGCCAUCAUACAGUCCGACUUCUCCUUCCUACAGCCCGACCUCUCCCUCGUACAGCCCGACUUCUCCUUCAUACAGCCCCACAUCACCAUCGUACAGCCCAACUUCGCCUGCUUAUAGCCCCACUUCCCCAGGUUACAGCCCAACCUCCCCAAGCUAUAGUCCGACCUCCCCAAGCUAUAGUCCGACCUCCCCAAGCUACAAUCCUCAGUCAGCAAAGUACAGUCCAUCGCUGGCAUACUCACCUAGCAGUCCAAGGUUGUCAC